UACGUAGGCAGCAAGCGUUGUUCGGAAUUACUGGGCGUAAAGAGUGUGUAGGCGGUGCUCUAAGUUCGGUGUGAAAUCUCCCGGCUUAACUGGGAGGGUGCGCCGGAAACUGGAGUGCUUGAGCGCGGGAGAGGAAAGCGGAAUUCCCGGUGUAGAGGUGAAAUUCGUAGAUAUCGGGAGGAACACCAGUGGCGAAGGCGGCGACCUGGACGGACAUUGACGCUGAGACGCGAAAGCGUGGGGAGCAAACAGG
This 253-nucleotide ribosomal RNA is filed under the name uncultured bacterium. RNAcentral's name for it is "partial 16S ribosomal RNA". It matches the Rfam family "Bacterial small subunit ribosomal RNA", at positions 524 to 776 of the family's 1533-position model. The record is from RNAcentral.